Molecule: long non-coding RNA, 768 nt
Organism: Pseudophryne corroboree (corroboree frog)
Lineage: Eukaryota; Metazoa; Chordata; Amphibia; Anura; Myobatrachidae
Exons: 5
Source: RefSeq, a predicted model, not a curated record
UGUAGCUCGGCUCCAAGAGGUAACGGAGAUGCCUGCCUUAGGACUCUAGCCCUGAAGGGGCACAUGCAUGUAUAGCAGCACCUGUAUGGGUCACAGCGGAAUCCAAGUGUGACCGCUGCUCUUCCAGAGUUUUCCGUCCUGUUGAUGUACCUUCCCAGGCCUGUUUUUAAAGUUUAGUCCUGUUGACAACUCGUCACCCCGUUUUCUCCUGUUGUUGAGUUUCUGCAAAUAUUGGACCCUUUUAUCCAACUCUACCAUGGGCAACCAACUUGUGAUGUGGACCUGAGCCUCCGCCAUGUAGCAGACAACCCCCCUCAGGUCUUGCGGUGUUUCCUUCCCAAGUGGCGUGGAUGUGAAGAGACAACACAGUUCCCCUGAUGUUCCAUGGGCAACCAACUUGUGAUGUGGACCUGACCCUCCGUCAUGUAGCAGACAACCCCCCCCCUCAGGUCUUGCGGUGUUUCCUUCCCAAGUGGCGUGGAUGUGAAGAGACAACACAGUUCCCCUGAUGUUCCAUGGGCAACCAACUUGUGAUGUGGACCUGACCCUCCGUCAUGUAGCAGACAACCCCCCCCCUCAGGUCUUGCGGUGUUUCCUUCCCAAGUGGCGUGGAUGUGAAGAGACACACAGUUCCCCUGAUGUUCCAAGGGCGACCAACUUCUAUACAAUUCAACUUUAUAGCAAAUAUUUUGUAAUAAAAAACCACAGAAAACUUCUCUUUUUAAAAAUGUAUUGAAGAAAAAUUGUAUUUGAUUAUUGAAAUAAAAA